UGGGGAAUAUUGCACAAUGGGCGCAAGCCUGAUGCAGCCAUGCCGCGUGUAUGAAGAAGGCCUUCGGGUUGUAAAGUACUUUCAGCGGGGAGGAAGGCGAUAAGGUUAAUAACCUUGUCGAUUGACGUUACCCGCAGAAGAAGCACCGGCUAACUCCGUGCCAGCAGCCGCGGUAAUACGGAGGGUGCAAGCGUUAAUCGGAAUUACUGGGCGUAAAGCGCACGCAGGCGGGCUGGCAAGUCGGAUGUGAAAUCCCCGGGCUCAACCUGGGAACUGCAUUCGAAACUGGCAGGCUAGAGUCUUGUAGAGGGGGGUAGAAUUCCAGGUGUAGCGGUGAAAUGCGUAGAGAUCUGGAGGAAUACCGGUGGCGAAGGCGGCCCCCUGGACAAAGACUGACGCUCAGGUGCGAAAGCGUGGGGAGCAAACA
This 427-nucleotide ribosomal RNA is filed under the name uncultured bacterium. RNAcentral describes it as "partial 16S ribosomal RNA". It matches the Rfam family "Bacterial small subunit ribosomal RNA", at positions 355 to 774 of the family's 1533-position model. The record is from RNAcentral.